AUGCAGCAUGAUUGAUGAGAAAAAAAUAGUUGUUUUUCUCUGUAAUUUCAUUGUAUUGGUGGUGUUUGGCGUCCCCAUUUAUUUAUCUUUAUGCUGACUAUACAUUCAACUUCAACUUCUUAAAAGCACAUCGCGUCUUAAUUAUCAAUUUCCACCCAACUGAUUUUCCUAAAUUUAUAUCACAAUUUUUUGCACUUGUAGUAUAAUGAUCAAGGGAUUAAUUAAUUUAUUUGUUUUGUAUCUUUGUAAGUACAUGUAAUGAUAAUCAAAUGUAUGAUCG
This 280-nucleotide long non-coding RNA is filed under the name Citrus sinensis (sweet orange). Its description in RNAcentral is "long non-coding RNA (CSIN_LNC005645)". Lineage: Eukaryota; Viridiplantae; Streptophyta; Magnoliopsida; Sapindales; Rutaceae. The record is from RNAcentral.